Molecule: transfer RNA, 83 nt
Filed under: Saccharata proteae CBS 121410
Lineage: Eukaryota; Fungi; Ascomycota; Dothideomycetes; Botryosphaeriales; Saccharataceae
Rfam family: tRNA
About the family: Transfer RNA (tRNA) molecules are approximately 80 nucleotides in length. Their secondary structure includes four short double-helical elements and three loops (D, anti-codon, and T loops). Further hydrogen bonds mediate the characteristic L-shaped molecular structure. tRNAs have two regions of fundamental functional importance: the anti-codon, which is responsible for specific mRNA codon recognition, and the 3' end, to which the tRNAs corresponding amino acid is attached (by aminoacyl-tRNA synthetases). tRNAs cope with the degeneracy of the genetic code in two manners: having more than one tRNA (with a specific anti-codon) for a particular amino acid; and 'wobble' base-pairing, i.e. permitting non-standard base-pairing at the 3rd anti-codon position.
Source: Rfam by way of RNAcentral
GCCCGGCUAGCUCAAUCGGUAGAGCGUGAGACUCUUAUACAGAGUACAUCUCAAGGUUGCGGGUUCGACCCCCGCGUUGGGCU